AUGUUCACUUUUAUAUUUAUGUGUCUGUGGCUGUCAUUAGGUGACUCCAUGGCGGAUCCAAUUGAGCCACUUUUCACUCAUAAAGUUGUAGAUGAAAGUAAUAAUGUUACUCUGUCCUGCAGCUACAAAAAUAGUGGUGCAGUACAAAACCUGUUCUGGUACAAACAAUAUCCAAAAUCUAGAGCAGAAUUCCUUCUUUUCAUCACUCCACUUGGAGGGAAAGGUGAGCCUAUACCAGGUAUGACUGCUGAAGUUGAUGAUAAAACUAAACAAGUGGAUCUGAUCAUCUCCUCUGCAGCUGUAUCAGACUCUGCUCUAUACUACUGUGCUCUGGUGCCCACAGUGACAGGAAAUCCAGCUGCACUGUACAAAAACCUUCACACAGUUUUAUUAUAUUAA
Molecule: non-coding RNA, 399 nt
Organism: Hemibagrus wyckioides
Lineage: Eukaryota; Metazoa; Chordata; Actinopteri; Siluriformes; Bagridae
Source: the annotation of a RefSeq genome assembly